Molecule: long non-coding RNA, 1246 nt
Organism: Xenopus laevis (African clawed frog)
Lineage: Eukaryota; Metazoa; Chordata; Amphibia; Anura; Pipidae
Exons: 6
Source: RefSeq, a predicted model, not a curated record
AGCCGUUUAACCGGCCCGUGUAGGGCCACCUUUAGUUAGGACAGAGUAAGAAAUAGGGCCCCUUAGCCAAGACAGGGCCAACAAAACCACUGAAUGAUCAAUAGCCAAAGGCAGAAAAUAUAAAUGAGAAGAGAACAGGACAGCUGGAAUCCAUAUGGAGAUGGGCUUAUAUAAGGAGCCAACGGGCAACGACAGUCUCCAGCCACUUCUUAUACGUCAUUAUUAUAUUUGGCUGACGUUCAAAUUGCCUGUGGGUUUGUUCAAGUGGGCGUGUCUCACUCAGAGGGUGGGAGUGGUUAACUGUAGUUUUUGGUAAGAUAUUUAGUAUAUAAGGAGGGGGGUCCGCCUGAAACAUCUAAUCUCCGGGAUCUGAUUGGUCACAGCCAUGAAGGGGACUCUGAUUGUGUUAGUGGCAUUGGCCGGAGCCUGGGCUGCACCUCAAGGAAGGGAACCCGGGAGCAAAUGGAUCAACGAUUACGACAAACCCUUUUCUUUCCAGUGUCCCGAUCAGCAGAGCAUUGGCUUUAUUAUAAGGUACUCACCGAUCCUCUGUUCGGCGCGAUGCGUUCCAGUGAUGUCACAGCUUACAUAUUGUGACGCCGACGCAGGGGAUUCGCUGGGCGCAGCGUAUGGACGCAGGCAACCUUAUUUCUUUCAGCACACUGAUGACUCCAGUGCUUGGACAUCGUUUUUCCGAGCAACAUUGAUUUUGCCUUUCCUGGCUACACCUCAGCUACUUCUUUGGGAACCGUCAUCCUGUGAACAACUACUAUCAACUAGACGCCACCUGACCCACCAGUGUUAUGGAGUGAAGCGGCUAAUUUCAUCACCUGCGCUAACCGUCAUAUCUGCUGAUUAUUCUUCAACAUCUUCCUGCAGCUGACGCCAAGCCACAAGACCCGCUCCACCACAGGCCGGCGCAUCCUGCUAGUAAUCACCGGCUCCCAUACUACACCUUCACUAGUCUCACUUGUAUCCAGUCGAGGGUGCACUGGUGGGGGAGCUGUAGGGGUUCUCUUCCUCAGCAUCCGUGGUUCCUCCCGGUUCGCUCCCUACCCAGGACACACACGGCCUGAAACAGUGGAUCAUCUUCACUGAAAACUGCAAGUCGGGGAACCCAGCUGCACCCACCAGCAAAUGCUGCUCCCCCGCUCUUGGAUACACUUUUAACAAAGAGAUAAGGGGACGUUCCUAGAGCCUGGAGUCUGUUUAACCACUGUAAGUUGCCCUUUUAUUCGACACUCUU